RNAcentral lists this ribosomal RNA (437 nucleotides) under uncultured bacterium. RNAcentral's name for it is "partial 16S ribosomal RNA". It matches the Rfam family "Bacterial small subunit ribosomal RNA", at positions 28 to 507 of the family's 1533-position model. The record is from RNAcentral.
AGCGAACGCUGGCGGCAUGCUUAACACAUGCAAGUCGCGCGGGUGGUUUCGGCCAUCAGCGGCGGACGGGUGAGUAUCGCGUAGGAAUGUAUCCCGAGGUGGGGGACAACCCUGGGAAACUGGGGCUAAUACCGCAUGGGGCCUGUGGGUCAAAGCCUUAGGGCGCCUUGGGAGCAGCCUGCGUCCGAUUAGGUAGUUGGUGGGGUAAAGGCCUACCAAGCCUGCGAUCGGUAGCUGGUCUGAGAGGACGAUCAGCCACACUAGGACUGAGACACGGCCCAGACUCCUACGGGAGGCAGCAGUGGGGAAUAUUGGACAAUGGGCGCAAGCCUGAUCCAGCAAUGCCGCGUGGGUGAAGAAGGUCUUCGGAUUGUAAAGCCCUUUCGGCGGGGACGAUGAUGACGGUACCCGCAGAAGAAGCCCCGGCUAACUUCGUG